RNAcentral lists this long non-coding RNA (326 nucleotides) under Actinidia chinensis (golden kiwifruit). Its description in RNAcentral is "long non-coding RNA (ACHI_LNC008931)". Lineage: Eukaryota; Viridiplantae; Streptophyta; Magnoliopsida; Ericales; Actinidiaceae. The record is from RNAcentral.
AACAUUUAAUCUUUCGCAAUAACUUGUUCAAAAUUCAUACUUGUACUUGUAAUUUGACUAUAUUUAAGUCAACAUAAUUCUUGAAACAUACAUUAUGCACUAUGACCUCCCGUACUUAGACGAGCUUAUACAUGAUUUUCAAACCCCCUUGAGUCGGGGUAUGCCGGUCGAGUACCUUCCCGAAAGGCAGAAGCUUGAUGGUUCAUAGGCAUAUACAUAUAAAAUCUUUUCGAAAGAUUCAUAUCUAUUCCAUGGAUUUGAUUUGCAUAGCAUAACAUAAUUUCAUGCAUAUAUUAUAGUAUCAAAAAGUAAUUUACUCUACUUUA